UUGGAACCGGACCUCCGGGAAGAUGGGCGGGACCUGUACUGCGACCCCGCGGGAGAAAGAUGAACGGGAUGCGGAGCUGGUGUACCCUAGUAGACGUGCACCCGGAGGAUCAGACCUCGGCGGGCAGGAAGACCUAUGCCGUGGUGUCUGGCCACUCAGCUGGCCAUUCUCUAGCCUCAGAACUGGUGGAGUCCCAUGAUGGUCAUGAGGAGAUCAUUAAGGUAUACUUGAAAGGGAGGUCUGGAGACAGAAUGACCCACGAGAAGAACAUUAACCAGCUGAAGAGUGAGGUCCAGUAUAUCCAGGAGGCCAGGAACUGUCUGCAGAAGCUCCGGGAGGAUAUAAGUAGCAAGCUUGACAGGGAUCCAGGAGAUUCUCUCCAUCAACAGGAGAUACAGGUGGUGCUAGAAAAGCCAAAUGGCUUUAGCCAGAGUUCUCCAACCCUGUACAGCAGCCCACCUGAGGUGGACGCCUAUGUAAAUGAGGAUGUUGAGAGCCUGAGGAACACUGUGCAAGACUUGCUUGCCAAGCUGCAGGAGGCUGAGCAGCAACACCGGUCAGACCGUGUGGCUUUUGAGGUCACAUUAAGCCGGUACCAGAGAGAAGCAGAACAGAGUAAUGUGGCCCUUCAGAGAGAGGAGGACAGAGUGGAGCAGAAAGAGGCAGAAGUUGGGGAGCUGCAGAGACAUCUGUUGGGGAUGGAGACGGAGCAACAGGCUUUACUGGUGAAAGUCAGGGAAGGGGAGAUGGCCCUGGAGGAACUUUGGAGCAAGAACGCUGACUGCCAAGCAGAACAAGAGAAGGCUGCUACCCUGGAAAAGGAAGUGGCUGGCUUGCGGGAGAAGAUCCAUCACUUGGAUGACAUGCUCAAGAGGCAGCAGCGGAAAGUCCGGCAGAUGAUCGAACAGCUCCAGAAUUCGAAAGCCGUGAUCCAGUUGAAGAACACCACCAUCCAGGAGCUCAAGGAGAAAAUCGCCUAUCUGGAGGCAGAGAAUUUAGAGAUGCAUGACCGGAUGGAACACCUGAUUCAAAAACAAAUCAGUCAUGGCAACUUCAGCACCCAGGCCCGGGCCAAGACAGAGAACCCUGACAGUAUUAGGAUAUCCAAGCCCCCCAGCCCGAAGCCCAUGCCUGUCAUCCGAGUGGUGGAAACCUGAGCUGCCUGCAGAUGGCUGCUGUGUUGGUGCUGCUUCCUGCCUGCGGAGAAGCCCACCGCCCUGUUGGUAUUAGCACUGACUUUAACUUCUGGACUGUUCCCUGGCUGCACUCAGGGCUCGGGCUCCUGUGGCCCAUUCCCAA
Carlito syrichta (Philippine tarsier) is the source of this 1299-nucleotide RNA transcript. It is a transcript of the gene named tuftelin pseudogene, with no coding region annotated. The record is from RefSeq and is a predicted model, not a curated record. Lineage: Eukaryota; Metazoa; Chordata; Mammalia; Primates; Tarsiidae. The transcript has a single exon.